Molecule: ribosomal RNA, 253 nt
Filed under: uncultured bacterium
Lineage: Bacteria
Description: partial 16S ribosomal RNA
Rfam family: Bacterial small subunit ribosomal RNA
Source: RNAcentral
UACGGAGGGGGCUAGCGUUGUUCGGAAUUACUGGGCGUAAAGCGCACGUAGGCGGCUUUGUAAGUUAGAGGUGAAAGCCUGGUGCUCAACACCAGAACUGCCUUUAAGACUGCAUCGCUUGAAUCAUGGAGAGGCGGGUGGAAUUCCGAGUGUAGAGGUGAAAUUCGUAGAUAUUCGGAAGAACACCAGUGGCGAAGGCGGCCCGCUGGACUGGUAUUGACGCUGAGGUGCGAAAGCGUGGGGAGCGAACAGG